RNAcentral lists this ribosomal RNA (253 nucleotides) under uncultured bacterium. Its description in RNAcentral is "partial 16S ribosomal RNA". It matches the Rfam family "Bacterial small subunit ribosomal RNA", at positions 524 to 776 of the family's 1533-position model. The record is from RNAcentral.
CACGUAGGGCGCAAGCGUUGUCCGGAAUUAUUGGGCGUAAAGAGCUCGUAGGCGGUCUGUUACGUCUGCUGUGAAAAUCCGGGGCUUAACCCUGGGCUUGCAGUGGAUACGGGUAGACUAGAGGCAGGUAGGGGAGAAUGGAAUUCCCGGUGUAGCGGUGAAAUGCGCAGAUAUCGGGAGGAACACCGGUGGCGAAGGCGGCGUCCUGGACCAAUACUGACACUGAAACGCGAAAGCCAGGGGAGCAAACGGG